UUAAUUGAAGCCAAAACAGAGGCAUUUUAUUGUUAAUAAAAUAAUUGAAUAUUAUUCCAAUUAAU
Molecule: transfer RNA, 65 nt
Filed under: Chonosia crassipennis
Lineage: Eukaryota; Metazoa; Arthropoda; Insecta; Hemiptera; Cicadidae
Description: tRNA-Asn
Source: RNAcentral